Molecule: unclassified non-coding RNA, 314 nt
Filed under: plant metagenome
Description: partial contains 5.8S ribosomal RNA, internal transcribed spacer 2, and large subunit ribosomal RNA
Rfam family: 5.8S ribosomal RNA (bases 1-105)
Source: RNAcentral
GAAAUGCGAUAAUUAAUGUGAAUUGCAGUAUUCAGUGAAUCAUCGAGUCUUUGAACGCACAUUGCGCCCCCUGGUAUUCCGGGGGGCAUGCCUGUCCGAGCGUCAUUGCUGCCCUCAAGCACGGCUUGUGUGUUGGGCUUCCGUCCCUGGCAACGGGGACGGGCCCAAAAGGCAGUGGCGGCACCAUGUCUGGUCCUCGAGCGUAUGGGGCUUUGUCACCCGCUCCCGUAGGUCCAGCUGGCAGCUAGCCUCGCAACCAAUCUUUUUAACCAGGUUGACCUCGGAUCAGGUAGGGAUACCCGCUGAACUUAAGC